This is a long non-coding RNA of Zingiber officinale, 507 nucleotides long. RefSeq lists it as uncharacterized. The transcript is spliced from 2 exons. The record is from RefSeq and is a predicted model, not a curated record. Lineage: Eukaryota; Viridiplantae; Streptophyta; Magnoliopsida; Zingiberales; Zingiberaceae.
GCGGAAACACAGCGGAGGCUAGGGCUUCACUCCGACGGUCGGUGGAGGGGGUUUUUCGAGAGAUUUCUUCAUCUUCACAAUCCUCUCGGCAAGGAGAACACGUAGGCGCAAGAAGUGGCCGGAAAACUCGAGUUAUCCGAACCCUAGAAGUUCUCUUCUCGGUUGAUCCUAAUAUGGAUGGUGAUCAUGUGGAUGAAGAUCAAAUGUUGGACAUAGAAGCGGAAGAAGAUGAUGCUAUAUAGCUUGAUUUUUUAGUACAAGUACUGAUAGUGGAUGAAGGUCAAAUGUGGAUGCAGAUCAAAUGUUUUGAUCAAUAAUGAUAGAUGACAAAUGAUUUUAUAUUUUAUGUGCAAAGAUUUAAGUUUAAGGUAGAGAAAUAUUAAGACAAAUGUGGAUGAAGAUGAUGCAUACUUUGUUAAUUAGUAUAUUUGUUUGAGUAUUAUAAUAUUUUGUUUUGGAUAACAAUGUAAUUAAUUUUCUUCAAUAUGUAUGUGGAUGAUUAAUAUA